AGAGAUGUGUGAUGACGCAUAUCAAUAAGCGGAGGAAAAGAAACUAACAAGGAUUCCCCUAGUAACGGCGAGUGAAGCGGGAAGAGCUCAAAUUUGAAAUCUUAAAGGGUUUCCCUUUACGAAUUGUAGUUUAAAGAAGUGUUUUCUGUUGGAGUUUCGGUAAAAGUUCUUUGGAAUAGGACAUCAUAGAGGGUGAGAAUCCCGUAUUUGUACCGUUCCUUUCAUGCUGUGUGAUACACUUUCAAAGAGUCGGAUUGUUUGGGAAUGCAGUCCAAAAUGGGUGGUAAAUUUCAUCUAAAGCUAAAUAUUGGCGAGAGACCGAUAGCGAACAAGUACCGUGAGGGAAAGAUGAAAAGAACUUUGAAAAGAGAGUUAAACAGUACGUGAAAUUGUCAAAAGGGAAGCGUUUGACACCAGUGCUGUUUUUCCGAAAAUCAAUUACGAAUGUUUUAGUUUUUGAGGAGUUAUGACUUCAUCGGCUUGCUUCUCUCUUUAUGAAACUUUCUUAAUGCACUUUUCGGUUAACAAGUCAACAUCAACUUCUUUUGUUGUAAAAGGGUAUGAGGAAGGUGGCUUUCUUUUCGGAGAAAGUGUUUAUAGCCUUGUAGCCUCUGCAAUCGGAGAGAUUGAGGUCUGCAGCGUAGAUCCUUCGGGGUUAGAUACAGUUUGUGCUAAGUUAUAGCCUUUCAUAGACAACUUGUUGACUAUGAUCAGUCAUGUAGCUUACUCGCUGAUGCUAUUUUACCUACGCUUAGGAUGUUGACGCAUGAGAUAUACGC
RNAcentral lists this ribosomal RNA (779 nucleotides) under uncultured Neocallimastigales. Its description in RNAcentral is "partial large subunit ribosomal RNA". It matches the Rfam family "Eukaryotic large subunit ribosomal RNA", at positions 23 to 647 of the family's 3401-position model. Lineage: Eukaryota; Fungi; Neocallimastigomycota; Neocallimastigomycetes; Neocallimastigales. The record is from RNAcentral.